This 253-nucleotide ribosomal RNA is filed under the name uncultured bacterium. Its description in RNAcentral is "partial 16S ribosomal RNA". It matches the Rfam family "Bacterial small subunit ribosomal RNA", at positions 524 to 776 of the family's 1533-position model. The record is from RNAcentral.
UACGAAGGGGGCGAGCGUUGUUCGGAAUUACUGGGCGUAAAGGGCGCGUAGGCGGUGUGCCAAGUCAGGCGUGAAAGCCCCGGGCUCAACCUGGGAACGGCGCUUGAGACUGGCACGCUCGAGUUCGGGAGAGGAUGGUGGAAUUCCCAGUGUAGAGGUGAAAUUCGUAGAUAUUGGGAAGAACACCGAUGGCGAAGGCAGCCAUCUGGACCGACACUGACGCUGAGGCGCGAAAGCUAGGGGAGCAAACGGG